RNAcentral lists this transfer RNA (84 nucleotides) under Cryptomonas pyrenoidifera. Its description in RNAcentral is "tRNA-Leu". It matches the Rfam family "tRNA". Rfam says of the family: Transfer RNA (tRNA) molecules are approximately 80 nucleotides in length. Their secondary structure includes four short double-helical elements and three loops (D, anti-codon, and T loops). The record is from RNAcentral. Lineage: Eukaryota; Cryptophyceae; Cryptomonadales; Cryptomonadaceae.
GGGGGUGUGGUGGAAUGGUAGACACAACAGACUUAAAAUCUGUUGACUACUUUGGUCGUGAGGGUUCGAGUCCCUCCACCCCCA